CCCUCUUAUAGUUAAUGUAAUUUAUGUUUUGAGUAGUAAAUGAUAUAAUCAGGAAACUUAUAGAAUUUGGCGGUGUAUAUUCUAACUAGAGGAAUAUGUUUUUUAAUCGAUAAUCCCCGUUAAUCUUACUUUUAAAAAUUUAUUUUGUAUAUCUCCGUCUUAAAAAAAUUUUUUAAAAUAUAUUUUUAUUUUUAUAAAAUGAAAAAAGUCAGGUCAAGGUGCAGAUAAUGUAAAAGUUAAAAUGUAUUACAAUAAAAUUAUUUUUGGAUUUAAUUUUAAAUAAUUAAUGAAAUUGGAUUUAUAAGUAAAUUAAUUUAAAUUAUAAUUAUUUGAAUAAUGUUAAUAUACAUGUACACAUC
This 359-nucleotide ribosomal RNA is filed under the name Myopsocus sp. KY298. RNAcentral describes it as "partial 12S ribosomal RNA". The record is from RNAcentral. Lineage: Eukaryota; Metazoa; Arthropoda; Insecta; Psocodea; Myopsocidae.